UUCGAGUUCAACUAAGGUACAAAACCACUUCGGUAUUCGAUUUCAAAUCAAUAUACAAUCGUUAAAAAUGGCAAAGACAGUCUUUUCAAACGUACGUGGGGCCCCCUCGGGCCUCGGCACCUGAAAAUCAUGUGAGAAGAUAUUAAAAUUCGUUUAUAACCUAACCUCAAUGGACAAUGAUUCUUUCAAUAAGUUGCUAAAACGAAAAUAACCAAAGGCAAAGAUAAACAUUGACCCAAUGAAAACCGCCAGCAAAAUAGGAAACCGACACUCGAGUUUUCUGGCUCUUUUCCCUGCACUGUAGGGAGCCAAAAUAGUUUAUGUUUUGAUGACAAUGAAAGGGAAAUAUUUGAUGAAAGAUAUGUCCACGUGCCCAGAUUAUUCGUAACGAGCUUAAUUGGCCAAUUUAUAUUAAAUUGCUAACUCAUCCUAUUUUAAUUUCGUUUAUUUUAGGGAAAUGUCGUGAAGUUGGCAUGGUUUGAGAGAACGUGAGGCGACGGUGAAUUUCAAACGAGAAAUCAUUGUGUUCGGCAAAUGACCUAGUCGGAAUGUGAUUGGUUCAGAUAAGACACCCGGUGACCUUAACACCCGGUAUAAACUUGCGAUUGUACUUGAAGACGGACAGAUUUAGUUUCGAAUACCGGAUAUGUACACUUUAUAUUUUGCUGUAGUUUUCGUGACCCUGGCGUGGAGUUUAGCAGGCCAUUGGGAACCUAAUGAUUGCCCACAGCAGUGCACAUGUCUUAUGGAAGGCAUUUUAAGAAAAGUCUACUGCGACAUACAAGAUCAACAACAGCUUAAAACUAUCCCAAGUAGAUUUCCCGCAGAUUCGCAAUACAUCUCAUUGAAAGGAAAUCGAAUUUCAACCAUCCCUACAAGCGCGUUUUCAAAUCUACGAGAUCUACGCUACUUGGAUUUAGCGUCAAAUGAACUGGAAGGUUUACCACCAAAUAUAUUUCAAGGUUUAACCACCUUGGAGUCAUUGAACUUAUCUAGAAACAGACUGGGACAGUUACCUUCAGGCCUGUUACAUGGACUGGAUAACUUGCGAGAUUUAUAUCUUGAUGGUAAUGUUCUAGAAAAUCUACCUAAAGAUUUUUUUGAAGGAUUAACAUCACUACGAAGAUUAUAUUUGGAUAGUAAUAAUUUUUACACGUUGUCAGACAAGUUGUUUGGUUUGCGUGGAAUGGCGAUGAAUGAAAAAUCUCCUGCAAUAAUCAGUAAUCUCACGUCUCUGGUUGAACUCUUACUAAAUCACAACGGCAUUGGUCAAGUACAACAUGAUUCCUUCAACAGAAUGUCUGACCUUAGACGCUUGAAACUGAACGACAACAAUAUCACAACGCUACCUAGGGGAAUAUUUCGCGAUCUUAGAUCGUUGCGUUUAUUGUCGCUUUACAAAAAUCCAUUUCAGUGUACAUGCUCUUUAAAAUGGUUAAAAGAUUGGAUCGUUCAAAAUCAAAGAGAUGUUACAGUAUUUUAUCAACAUUUAAUACGAUGCGAGGGUCCUGCGAGGCUCCGUGGAAAAGGUUUACUGGAUGUUAAAGACAGUGAAUUCGGCUGUGAAGACGAAUGGAGUGAGUGGUCUAAUUGGGACAGCUGUUCAAAAGCUUGUAAUCAUGGAAGACAAAAUAGGAGUCGCCAAUGUAAAUCAGGCGUGUGUAAGGGUAGUGAUAUCGAAAGUAGGUGGUGUAACACACACAAGUGUGAGCUAGAGUGGAGCCCCUGGAGUGUAUGGACUCCAUGCAGUGUGACAUGUUCAGUUGGAUACCAAACACGAAGUCACUACACACAGUGUACUCAAUCACCAUGCAAACGAGUGCUCGAAUCUGAAGUAAGAGUAUGCCCUAGGAGACCUUGCCCUUCUUAUACUGAGUGGUCAUCAUGGUCUAUGUGUAACCCUCUGUGUGGACAAGGAAAACAAGUCCGCCAACGGGAAUGUGCCACCUCGCAUGUUGGGGUGGCAUGCCCUGCACCUAAAGUUGAAACCCAAGAUUGUAAAAUAAGAGAUUGUGCUGAAUGGACAAAAUGGGGCAUGUGGUCAGCGUGUAGUAAGAAUUGUUCAAAAGGAGAACGAACAAGAAAACGAGAUUGUGUAAUAGUACAUGGUUCAAAACAACAAUACUGUCCUGGAAAUGAUACUGACAAACAAGAAUGUCACAUCAAGGCAUGUCCUGUUGACGGCAGCUGGUCGUCAUGGUAUCCAUGGACAAGUUGUAGCAAAACAUGUGGAAUAGGAUUCAAUACAAGACACAGGCGAUGUUCUAAUCCAUAUCCACAACACGGCGGAGCGAAAUGCAACGGUUCAUCUUUUGAAGUUACACAAUGUGUCAGAGGGUUAUGCAAUGAUACGUCAGUAUUUACACCAUGGUCGGAAUGGAGCCCAUGUUCCAUACAAUGUGGGAGAGGGUUUAAAUCACGACGUAGGUCAUGCAAAAAACAAGAUCCUAAAACAAGUGCAUACAUGUGUUUGGGUAAGACUGAGGAAUAUCAAAACUGUGAGGGGAAAAUGUGUGCUGGUGUUUGGGAAGAGUGGACACUAUGGACCAAGUGUAAGGGAGGUUGCAACCAGGGGCAAACAUUUCGAUGGAGAUUUUGUGUUGGUGAUCAUGGUAGCGGGGGUUAUGUAUGUGCAAUGAAUAAGACUGUUGAUGUUCAAGGAAAGAAUUGUAAACCAUCAACAUGUAGUGAUGAACCACUGUGGUCGGGUUGGAGUGCCUGGUCUGCAUGUUCACGCAGUUGUGCUGGAGGUACGAAACGUCGUUGGCGGUAUUGUGUAACUAAAAUAAUUGGGAAACCUUGCCCUGGUAACCAAGAAAGUAAAUCACCAUGUAAUAUUGAGCCAUGUCCCAUACAUGGUGGAUGGAGCAUUUGGAGUGAGUGGGGCAAGUGUAGUGAGGUAUGUGAUGGAGGGAUAAAACAACGAAAUCGUACAUGUACUGAGCCGGUACCUCAGUACAAUGGUCAACAAUGUAUUGGAGACAGUAAAGACAAAACAAUAUGUAAUACACAUAGAUGCAGAGAUGGUAUCCAAGGUGAUAAACUGCUAUCAACAAUGAAAACACCUGAGGUUACAACAUCUGAGGUUAAAGAACCUGGAGUGAUACGAUUAGGUGAAAAAAUAAAUUGCCCCACACCAGAGAUGCCAAGGAAUGGUAAAUACACUAUGACAGAACAGAAAGAUCAACAUAAAUUUCUCGAGUAUAAAUGUGACGACUAUUAUCGCAAUCGUGGACAUAGUAACCUGCGCUACUGUUCAGAUGAUGGUAGAUGGUCUGGACAUGAUGCGGACUGUGUGCCAGAUUGCGGGGAAUUCAAGGCAAACCGAAAAGGAGCCAAUGAGAUCAAGAGUAUCAGAAAUAUGAUUGAUUUCUGGCCUUGGCAAGUUGCAAUAGAAGUACCAAUGAAAGGGAUUCAUUGCGGAGGUGCGCUAAUUGGAGAUCAGUGGGUUCUUACUGCUGCACAUUGUGUUCUUCCACGGGAGUCAUCGAAAUAUUAUGAAGAAAUUAAAGUCAUUUUAGGCACACAUAAUUUGACAGAUAAAAGUUCAAGAGAAGUACAGAUAAUACUUGUGAAUAAAACAGAACAUCACAAAGAUUUUGCAUGGAACCUCAAACACAGUGUCAAAUACGCAUCGGACAUCGCCAUUUUGAAAUUAGAAAGAAAAGUUCACAUAACAAAGUAUGUACAUCCAGUUUGUCUGCCAAAAAGAAGAAGAAAACAUUUAAUGCAUGCUGGGCAGAUGGGCGUGUUUGCUGGCUGGGGCGGGACACAAGAGCCUCACUUACUGCGACAAAUUCCACUGCCUGUAGUCAACCGUCAAGAGUGUCAAAGGUCUUACAAAAGAUACAAAUAUAGAGUCAAUGAAAAAAUGAUGUGUGCUGGCUACAAGAAGACAGCAGAUGGCAUAUGUAAGAAAGACAGUGGAGGUGGCUUUUUCUUUUUUGACAAUUCAAAACGAAGGAAACGUUGGGUAUUGGGUGGUAUUGCAAGCUGGCGAUUUCCUACAUGUAACGAAGAAGGCAAAUAUAGUGUCUUUACUGAUGUUACUAAACAUAUGAACUGGAUAAAAAAGAAGAUGGGUGAUUGGUAAUUAACUAUACAUUCAUAUAAUUAUAAAAAGUAUAUUAAUAUAUGACAUCGAAGAGGCCUGGUAUAUUACAAUCAAAAUUGGUUUUACAGUUUGCUACAUUACAUGUGAGAUCCAGGGGUGGAUCUAGCCUCAUUUGCAAGGAAGCGGUGCAGGUUUUUCCAUGGGGUUGUGCAUCAGGGAGCAUUACUGCCCGUUCUGUUACGCUAUAUUAUAUUUUAUAAAGUUUAUAUCGUGUUUGCAUGAACAGCUGCUGUUGCACAGUACAGUAAAGUAACUUUGCUUGUUGAAAGUAUGUUUUAUUUGAAAAUACUGCUAUAUAGCAAUCUCAACAUGACAGUACAUGUUUAACCAUGCUAUUUAACUAAAGCAUUUUGAGUAUUUUCUUGUGAGUUCACAAAUCAAUUGAAUCGUUUCAAGAAAUUGACAUGUACUCACAGCAUAAAUUUCACUAAACAAUAUUCAAAAAGCAGAAAAUGUAUUUGUCAAGCAGAUUUUUUAGGGUGGUGCUGGACACCACCCCCCUGCACCCCCAUGGUAGAUCCACCCCUGGUGAGAUCAAGUCAGUUUGAUCAUAAAUGUUUACUUCAAUUUAAAGGGAAAAAAUCUCACAGUCUUAUACUGUUAAGUACUGUAGUUACAGUAACAGUAACAGGGCUGCAAAAAAUAUUUUAUUUUCUGGGACCACAAGGCCAACAAAAAAAUUCUCUGUAAUCAAGGGACAGCAAAUUGUAUGGUUUUUAAAAUUUUAUCACAACUAAGGAAAAUUCAGUCCAUUCUAGACAAAUUCUAAACAUCAUUUCGGUCUUGAAAAUAGACCUUAUUCCAACGUGGCUACCAAAUAAAUAUUCUUUUAUGUUGUAAACAAGUCCUUAUGUAUUUUUCUUCAAUGUGUAUUUUUGUCUACAUGCAUGAUCUGCAGUAAAGUAAGUCACUAAAAUUAGUGAAAUACACUAACUUUCUUUCCUUUAAGACGUUUUAAAUUCUAUGGUUUUACCUUCCAUUUUUUUCUGCCAACCUCAAAAAUUUUCUUGGACCAAUGGUCCUGUGGUCCACUAUACUUUGCAGCCCUGUGCAGUAUGGCACAGGUUUGGGUAAAUACUCUAAGCAUCGAGUUGUAAAUAAUUUUGUACAAAAAUUAUCCUAACGCAAAAUUGGUUUUACAGUUUGCUACAUAAUAUGUAAGAUAAAGUCUGUUUAUUCAUCUCACAGUCUAUAUACUGUUGAAGUCACAGUUUUGCCAAACUUUUAAACUUGGCAAAAAUUUUCCAGAAAUCCUAUCUGGAUAUUCGAUAAAUAUUCUAUUUUAUGAAGUUAUAUGGCAAACCAUUGGCAAAGCUUGCCAUGGCAACUGGUCAUGCUAUGCCGAUAAACCUGCAUGCAUCUAAAUAGGUAAAGACAAUUAAUACAUAAUUUUUAAGGGUUUGAAUGAUGCAAAUCAUUAAAUAUUUGCAUAGCAUGACCUGUUGCCAUGGCUAGCUUUGCGACUGAAACAAACCAACAUGUGCAAAUUACCCAAAACAGCAGACAAUACUUUCUACGGUGUUAAAAAUAUAUAAAUUAAGUAUCUCAGAGAUAUAGAUAUGUAAAAUAUUUAUUACAAAAUUACAUUAUUUUAUAAAUAUUAAUUUAACUAAAGGCUUUAAAUGCUACAUUGUGGAUGUGGACUAACUGUGACUAAGGCUUUAUUUUGCUAAUUGAUGCAUCUUUUACCAUAGAUAUUUAUGCCCCCCCCCCCCUAUGGGCUCAGUUCCUUCAGGGGAGGGGGUUUGAGAGCAAUUUAGGGUUGGGCAAAGCUGACGUGGCCAAGCUCAAAGCAGCAAUCUCAUUGACCAAUCACUAGCUUCCAGAUCAAAUGCCUUUGCUUGUAACAUUGAAAUUUUGUUAUAACAUGAAAGCAAUGGAACUCAUAUAAAUCAAAAUGAGGAUAUUGCAUUAAUUACAAAAUGAAGAUAUGUCAAAAUUUGGAUUAAAAAAAUUUGGGCAAAAUGAGGAUAUGUGAAAAUUUUUCAGGGAAACAUUUUUAUAUUUUAUGGCAGUUAGGGCCAUUCUAUUUAAUAUCCACACCGCCCUACGGAUGAGGUCAGUAAAAUUUUAACCCCUAAGAAAAAAAAAAUCAAAGUGCCGACACAAAACACCCCUCAGAAAUUUAUAAAUUUUCCCCUUACCCCUCAGAAAAAUCGCAGAGAUCAAAGGAUGCCGACAUGCUUAACCCCUCAGAAACGACUUUGAGUCACCCUUCAGAAAAACUCAUCCGUAGGGGGGGGGGGGUGGACAUUAAAUGGAAUGGCCCUUAGCCCCUCCAAAAUAUAAACUGUUCUGCCGUCAUUGUUCCCCAGUGCAUACUAUUUAUAGGAGCCAAAAAAGUCGAUGGUAGUUAGCAUUAUUCUUAUUAGAGAUUAGCUGAUUAAUUGGCAAAAUAAUUGGCUCUUAUCAUGUUAUGACAUCUGCCUUGGUUUACAUAGAUAAAAAUUUUAUCUCUGAUAUAUCAAAAAGAUAUCAACCAAAUAUAUAUAUCCAUC
Molecule: long non-coding RNA, 6612 nt
Filed under: Paramuricea clavata
Lineage: Eukaryota; Metazoa; Cnidaria; Anthozoa; Malacalcyonacea; Plexauridae
Source: RNAcentral